This 230-nucleotide ribosomal RNA is filed under the name uncultured Lactobacillus sp. RNAcentral describes it as "partial 16S ribosomal RNA". It matches the Rfam family "Bacterial small subunit ribosomal RNA", at positions 132 to 355 of the family's 1533-position model. The record is from RNAcentral. Lineage: Bacteria; Bacillati; Bacillota; Bacilli; Lactobacillales; Lactobacillaceae.
AAGAGAUCGGGAUAACACCUGGAAACAGAUGCUAAUACCGGAUAACAACAGAUGAUGCCUAUCAACUGUUUAAAAGAUGGUUCUGCUAUCACUCUUGGAUGGACCUGCGGCGCAUUAGCUAGUUGGUAGGGUAACGGCCUACCAAGGCGAUGAUGCAUAGCCGAGUUGAGAGACUGAUCGGCCACAUUGGGACUGAGACACGGCCCAAACUCCUACGGGAGGCAGCAGCA